AGAAAGAGGGUUAGGUUGAGUUGUGUUUGUGUUUGUGUGUGAAUUUGUUAGAUUGCAGUUUUUGUAGUGGUAGGUCUAGGUUUAUUUUAAAAGGAUAUGGAGAAUCCUGGCGGGAAUGCCUUAUGACUGUUCGUUAAUUGUUUGCCUAGACCUGCAAUUUUUUACUAGGAAGAUAUGUCACUCAAAACAAAUUUCUAAGAAUAUAUUACGAUUAAAUAAUUUCUUCGGAAAAGCAUUUGAGAUUAAAGAGGUGCUCUUCUGUCGUAGAGGUGAUAACGACCACAUAAGAAAAAGGCUGCGGAAAAUCAUGACCAAAUCCUGAUACGCUGUGACCGCCCUCCCCAG
Long non-coding RNA from Macrosteles quadrilineatus (aster leafhopper), 345 nucleotides. RefSeq lists it as uncharacterized. The transcript has 3 exons. Lineage: Eukaryota; Metazoa; Arthropoda; Insecta; Hemiptera; Cicadellidae. The record is from RefSeq and is a predicted model, not a curated record.